CGUGAGGCGGCGCCACGUUGUCGGGUGACGCCGUGUCGUGAGGCGGCGCCAUGUUGUGAGGCGGCGCCACGUUGUCCGGGGACGCCAUGAGAUGGUGCCGCGUUGUGAGGUGAGUGUGAGGCGAUGUUAUGUUAUGAGGCUGCGCCGUGUUGUGGGGUGACUCUGUGAGGCAGCACCGUGUUGUGAGGGGUCACCACAUUGUGGGGUGACGCCAUGUUGUGGAGCGAUGCUGUGGGGGGACGCUGUGAGGCGGUGCCAUGUUGUGAAGAGGUGCUGCAAAACUUCUUACAUGAGCAGCAAAGGAUUCUUUUGCCAUGUUACUGCCAAAGCUAUCUAUCUGCUCUUUAAAACAGCAGGGCAGUGGCAUGGGCUGCCCUGGGCCUUGCAGCCCAGCGCACACCUCCAGGCUCCCAAACCCUGCGGGUGCUCUCUC
This 433-nucleotide long non-coding RNA is filed under the name Gallus gallus (chicken). RNAcentral describes it as "lncRNA (ENSGALG00010011259.1)". The record is from RNAcentral. Lineage: Eukaryota; Metazoa; Chordata; Aves; Galliformes; Phasianidae.